ACAGAGGUCUCAAGCGUUGUUCGGAUUCAUUGGGCGUAAAGGGUGCGUAGGUGGCGCCGUAAGUCAGGUGUGAAAUCUCGGGGCUCAACCCCGAAACUGCACUUGAUACUGCGGUGCUCGAGUACUGGAGAGGAGAUUGGAAUUUACGGUGUAGCAGUGAAACGCGUAGAUAUCGUAAGGAAGACCAGUGGCGAAGGCGAAUCUCUGGGACGGUACUGACGCUGAGACGCGAAAGCGUGGGGAGCGAACAGGA
Molecule: ribosomal RNA, 253 nt
Filed under: uncultured prokaryote
Description: partial 16S ribosomal RNA
Rfam family: Bacterial small subunit ribosomal RNA
Source: RNAcentral